AUUCCUGUUACUUGAACCAGUUGACAAGGGAGGGCCGCAACGUCCAUCUUGGACCAUUUGCGUAACACCUUCAACAACCCGUCGGAAAAAAAAAAAAUCUGAGAGGGUUGCCUUGCUUGGUCUAUUUUUAACCUUUUCCCCUUGAAGGCCGAAUGGCACGGCUUCAUAUGCAAGCCACUCAUGAGUUUACUGUUCUGGAAAUCUCAAAAGGGAGGUGAAUAAGACACCCCGAGCUCUUGUGGAUUGUCUCACAGACAGGGGAUUCGAUCCAGACGACACUUUCAAAGGAUCACAGUAAUAAAAUAUCUCUAGCUCUCAGUCACAGUAUCAUCAUACAUCGGCUCCAUUUUACGAUGGUAGCCGAUGAUCGAGAGCACCUAGAGUAUGGCCAAGGUGGAGCAUGUAUUUCGUCAUGAUGCGCAACCAAAAUUGGAUGGCAAGCAAAACUCCUGGUGAAAUUUUCUCCUCUUGAGCAAGGAGGUCAUUUUGCGGUCAGAUUGUCGGAGGUUGGCGAUGCUUGAGAAAGUUUCUGGCUAAGUUAGG
This 543-nucleotide small RNA is filed under the name Histoplasma ohiense. RNAcentral describes it as "hypothetical lncRNA". The record is from RNAcentral. Lineage: Eukaryota; Fungi; Ascomycota; Eurotiomycetes; Onygenales; Ajellomycetaceae.